RNAcentral lists this ribosomal RNA (463 nucleotides) under uncultured bacterium. RNAcentral describes it as "partial 16S ribosomal RNA". It matches the Rfam family "Bacterial small subunit ribosomal RNA", at positions 338 to 795 of the family's 1533-position model. The record is from RNAcentral.
CCUACGGGUGGCAGCAGUAGGGAAUUUUCGUCAAUGGGCGCAAGCCUGAACGAGCAAUGCCGCGUGAACGAGGAAGGUCUUCGGAUCGUAAAGUUCUGUUGAAGGGGAAAAGAGCUGAGAGAGGAAAUGGUCUCCGAUUGGUAUUACCCUUCGAGGAAGUCACGGCUAACUACGUGCCAGCAGCCUCGGUAAUACGUAGGUGGCGAGCGUUAUCCGGAUUGGUUGGGCGUAAAGGGUGCGUAGGCGGCCUGCUACGUCUGGAGUGAAAGGUACCGGCUCAACCGGUACAGGCUCUGGAAACUGGCGGGCUAGAGAGCAGGAGAGGGCAGUGGAACUCCAUGUGUAGCGGUAAAAUGCGUAGAUAUAUGGAAGAACACCAGUGGCGAAGGCGGCCGACUGGCCUGUUACUGACGCUGAGGCACGAAAGCGUGGGGAGCAAAUAGGAUUAGAUACCCCGGUAGUC